RNAcentral lists this ribosomal RNA (493 nucleotides) under uncultured bacterium. RNAcentral describes it as "bacterial SSU rRNA". It matches the Rfam family "Bacterial small subunit ribosomal RNA", at positions 36 to 524 of the family's 1533-position model. The record is from RNAcentral.
CCGGCGGCAGCUUACCAUGCCAGUCGAGCGGUAACAUUUCUAGCUUGCUAGAAGAUGACGAGCGGCGGACGGGUGAGUAAUACUUAGGAAUCUACCUAGUAGUGGGGGAUAGCUCGGGGAAACUCGAAUUAAUACCGCAUACAACCUACGGGAGAAAGGGGGCAACUUGUUGCUCUCGCUAUUAGAUGAGCCUAAGUCGGAUUAGCUAGAUGGUGGGGUAAAGGCCUACCAUGGCGACGAUCUGUAGCUGGUCUGAGAGGAUGAUCAGCCACACCGGGACUGAGACACGGCCCGGACUCCUACGGGGAGGCAGCAGUGGGGAAUAUUGGACAAUGGGGGAAACCCUGAUCCAGCCAUGCCGCGUGUGUGAAGAAAGCCUUUUGGUUGUAAAGCACUUUAAGCGGUGAAGAACACUCUUCGGUUAAUACCCGGAGACAAUGACAUUAGCUGCAGAAUAAGCACCGGCUAACUCUGUGCCAGCAGCCGCGGUAAU